ACUCCCCGCGACACCGCUGUGCUGCUCCGCAGGGCCCGGCUGAGACCCGCGGAAGCUUCCCCGGUGCCUCGCGGGUCCCUGCCCAGCCCCCGCCCGGGCAGGGGCGGCAGCGCCGUCAGAGCCGCGAUCGAGCGCGGUCGUGGUGCCCGUGGCCGGCUCUGUGCCGGUGUCACGGCGCUGGGCACAUCGUGCUGGAAGUGCUGUGUCAUUGUGCGAGAGGGCUGGGAACAAGUGCGGGAGAAAUGUACUGCUUUUUGGCACGGGAGAUGAGAAUCGGAAGGAAGAGGAGGGAUGAUGGCUGGAAACUGAGCGUAAGAUUGGACUGGUUUAGAUGAAGAUGAAGAUGCACAUGUCUGGGAAGACAAUUGGGAUGAUGACAAUGUAGAAGAUGAUUUCUCCAAUCAGUUAAGAGCUGAAUUAGAAAAACAUGGAU
This is a long non-coding RNA of Parus major (Great Tit), 433 nucleotides long. RefSeq lists it as uncharacterized. Lineage: Eukaryota; Metazoa; Chordata; Aves; Passeriformes; Paridae. The record is from RefSeq and is a predicted model, not a curated record. The transcript has 3 exons.